Molecule: non-coding RNA, 517 nt
Organism: Macaca mulatta (Rhesus monkey)
Lineage: Eukaryota; Metazoa; Chordata; Mammalia; Primates; Cercopithecidae
Source: RefSeq, a predicted model, not a curated record
ACUCGGUCUGUGAACCAGGUAACCACACAGCUUUGAUGAUGAAGUUCCCCGUUGCCAACUGAGGGUGCAAAACCAAGUGAUCCGAAACAGAGCCUGAGCUACUAAAGAUAAGUCUAGUAGAAAAUCCUAGAUCAAUAUUAAUCUCUAUUUCUCCUGACUAAAAGCCACGGAAUGUCUUUCCAUGGAGGACAGAACAGGACUCACAUACAGCCUGCACUGACGAUGGCAAAUUCUGAACCAGUGUCGGACCUGGAGGCAACAGAAAGGACAAGGAAUCAUCACAAGAAAGAAGGAAUGACACAGAGCAUUUUAAAAGCCAAGCCCAAAUGCAGAAAGAAACAGUACAGCCCAGGCUGUCAAAAUAAUUAGUAAGAUAGCUUAGAUGGAUAUUUCAAUAGCAGUACUAUUUCCAAGAACCAGUUAAUUGCUUAAUAGCUAACACUCUCAAUUGUAAGGUUUUCAUUUCCCAUCAUAUUCACUUUCCAAUCUUGCAAGUAAAGACGACAACUGAAAAUAA